Molecule: ribosomal RNA, 430 nt
Filed under: uncultured Enterobacteriaceae bacterium
Lineage: Bacteria; Pseudomonadati; Pseudomonadota; Gammaproteobacteria; Enterobacterales; Enterobacteriaceae
Description: bacterial SSU rRNA
Rfam family: Bacterial small subunit ribosomal RNA
Source: RNAcentral
GUGGGGAAUAUUGCACAAUGGGCGCAAGCCUGAUGCAGCCAUGCCGCGUGUGUGAAGAAGGCCUUAGGGUUGUAAAGCACUUUCAGCGAGGAGGAAGGCGUUGCAGUUAAUAGCUGCAGCGAUUGACGUUACUCGCAGAAGAAGCACCGGCUAACUCCGUGCCAGCAGCCGCGGUAAUACGGAGGGUGCAAGCGUUAAUCGGAAUUACUGGGCGUAAAGCGCACGCAGGCGGUUUGUUAAGUCAGAUGUGAAAUCCCCGAGCUUAACUUGGGAACUGCAUUUGAAACUGGCAAGCUAGAGUCUUGUAGAGGGGGGUAGAAUUCCAGGUGUAGCGGUGAAAUGCGUAGAGAUCUGGAGGAAUACCGGUGGCGAAGGCGGCCCCCUGGACAAAGACUGACGCUCAGGUGCGAAAGCGUGGGGAGCAAACAGG